GACGAACGCUGGCGGCGUGCUUAACACAUGCAAGUCGAACGGAAAGGCCCUGCUUUUGUGGGGUGCUCGAGUGGCGAACGGGUGAGUAACACGUGAGUAACCUGCCCUUGACUUUGGGAUAACUUCAGGAAACUGGGGCUAAUACCGGAUAGGAGCUCCUGCUGCAUGGUGGGGGUUGGAAAGUUUCGGCGGUUGGGGCUGGACUCGCGGCUUAUCAGCUUGUUGGUGGGGUAGUGGCUUACCAAGGCUUUGACGGGUAGCCGGCCUGAGAGGGUGACCGGCCACAUUGGGACUGAGAUACGGCCCAGACUCCUACGGGAGGCAGCAGUGCGGAAUAUUGCACAGUGGGCGGAAGCCUGAUGCAGCACCGCAGCGUGCGGGAUGACGGCCUUCGGGUUGUAAACCGCUUUCGCCUGUGACGAAGCGUGAGUGACGGUACUGGGUAAAGAAGCACCGGCUAACUACGUG
This 468-nucleotide ribosomal RNA is filed under the name uncultured bacterium. RNAcentral's name for it is "partial 16S ribosomal RNA". It matches the Rfam family "Bacterial small subunit ribosomal RNA", at positions 28 to 507 of the family's 1533-position model. The record is from RNAcentral.